GGGUUGUGAGGUUAAGCGACUAAGCGUACACGGUGGAUGCCCUGGCAGUCAGAGGCGAUGAAGGACGUGCUAAUCUGCGAUAAGCGUCGGUAAGGUGAUAUGAACCGUUAUAACCGGCGAUUUCCGAAUGGGGAAACCCAGUGUGUUUCGACACACUAUCAUUAACUGAAUCCAUAGGUUAAUGAGGCGAACCGGGGGAACUGAAACAUCUAAGUACCCCGAGGAAAAGAAAUCAACCGAGAUUCCCCCAGUAGCGGCGAGCGAACGGGGAGGAGCCCAGAGCCUGAAUCAGUGUGUGUGUUAGUGGAAGCGUCUGGAAAGGCGCGCGAUACAGGGUGACAGCCCCGUACACAAAAAUGCACAUGCUGUGAGCUCGAUGAGUAGGGCGGGACACGUGGUAUCCUGUCUGAAUAUGGGGGGACCAUCCUCCAAGGCUAAAUACUCCUGACUGACCGAUAGUGAACCAGUACCGUGAGGGAAAGGCGAAAAGAACCCCGGCGAGGGGAGUGAAAAAGAACCUGAAACCGU
Molecule: ribosomal RNA, 528 nt
Filed under: Escherichia coli
Lineage: Bacteria; Pseudomonadati; Pseudomonadota; Gammaproteobacteria; Enterobacterales; Enterobacteriaceae
Description: partial 23S ribosomal RNA
Rfam family: Bacterial large subunit ribosomal RNA
Source: RNAcentral